Molecule: ribosomal RNA, 459 nt
Filed under: uncultured bacterium
Lineage: Bacteria
Description: partial 16S ribosomal RNA
Rfam family: Bacterial small subunit ribosomal RNA
Source: RNAcentral
CCUACGGGAGGCAGCAGUGAGGAAUAUUGGUCAAUGGGCGGAAGCCUGAACCAGCCAAGUAGCGUGCAGGAUGACGGUCCUGCGUGUUGUAAACUUCUUUUAUCCGGGAAUAACGCGCCUUACGAGUAGGCCUUUGCGUGUACCGGAUGAAUAAGGACCGGCUAAUUCCGUGCCAGCAGCCGCGGUAAUACGGAGGGUCCGAGCGUUAUCCGGAUUUAUUGGGUUUAAAGGGAGCGUAGGCCGCAUGUCAAGCGUGCGGUGAAAUGUCGGGGCUCAACCCCGGCCCGCCGUUGAAACUGGCAGUCUGGAGUUGGAGAGAAGUACGCGGAAUGCGCGGUGUAGCGGUGAAAUGCUUAGAUAUCGCGCAGAACCCCGAUUGCGAAGGCAGCAUGCCGGCUCCACACUGACGCUGAGGCACGAAAGCGUGGGUAUCGAACAGGAUUAGAUACCCUAGUAGUC